Molecule: unclassified non-coding RNA, 475 nt
Filed under: Hevea brasiliensis (rubber tree)
Lineage: Eukaryota; Viridiplantae; Streptophyta; Magnoliopsida; Malpighiales; Euphorbiaceae
Source: RNAcentral
UCAGUUCAUCAUCCAGAAGAACAUUACUUGGCUUCAGAUCACAAUGAACUAUUGUAGUUUCACAGUGAUGAUGCAGAUAUUCAAGUGCAAAAGCAAUAUCAAUGGCAAUAUUUAGUCUUUGAAGAAGAUUUAAACUCUUUCGUGCCUCACGAUGAUUUCCAUCAACUACCACGACUGGAUGUAACCAAUCCUCAAGGCUUCCAUUAACCAUGAACGCAUAAACUAGAGCCUUGAAAUCGUUGCCUUGGUAAUCAAUACUUGAACAAGCUGAUAUCACCUUCACAAGAUUUCGAUGUCUGAUAUUUUUCAACACUUCACAUUCUGCAAUGAAGCUUCUAGCUGCUUUGUGAUGCUGAAGGUUGAGCACCUUAACAGCAAUGGGUGGUCCACCUUCACCAAGAAGUCCUUUAUAUACAGAUCCAAAUCCACCAACACUGAUCAAAUUCAAAGAGGAGAAGCCAUUGGUGGCAUCAAG